CUAAAACAUGGUGGAAGCAGGAAAGACAUCACAAGAAUGGUGCCUUCACUUUUCAUCCAACAAAUACCACCUAACUCCCCGUGUCUGUGGAACUCAUGGAAGAUGUACUUGCUCCAGGCCAAAUCUCACUGCAUUUGGUGCUGUAAAACUCUACUCAUCCUUAACUGCUCUGAAGGUUAGUGAGAAAAGAGGUAGAUGCUCAGCAUGUGGAAGCCUCACUUGAUGCCUCCUAGGAGCAGAAAGUUUAACCAUGCUGCCAUACAGCCACCACAAUGCUUGUUGUGCACUGUGUUGAAAUAAAGAAUAUCCAAAACAACAAACGUUGUUCAUUAGGCUGUAUAGGCAAAUGCAGAAGUUAACCUUAAGAACUGGUUAUUUGGUAAGAUACAGUGAUAAAUUAUGUGCCAAAUUUCUUCUGAUAAAAUUCAGAUAGAACCAUGUUCUAAUACAUGUAAAAGGAAUAGCAAACUGGUCAAAUCUUGGGUAACUUAGUACUAAAAAAUGACUGUGAUUGUUGAAUUCAGAUACCCAGUUUCAUGUUCUGGAUUUGUCAGUUUGCUUGCUUGCUCUUUUUCUUCUUUUCUUUUUUUGUUCUCCUCUGAAG
Molecule: long non-coding RNA, 604 nt
Organism: Gallus gallus (chicken)
Lineage: Eukaryota; Metazoa; Chordata; Aves; Galliformes; Phasianidae
Source: Ensembl